RNAcentral lists this ribosomal RNA (253 nucleotides) under uncultured bacterium. RNAcentral's name for it is "partial 16S ribosomal RNA". It matches the Rfam family "Bacterial small subunit ribosomal RNA", at positions 524 to 776 of the family's 1533-position model. The record is from RNAcentral.
UACGUAGGGGGCAAGCGUUGUCCGGAAUCAUUGGGCGUAAAGAGCGUGUAGGCGGCCCGAUAAGUCCGCUGUGAAAGUCCAGGGCUCAACCCUCGAAUGCCGGUGGAUACUGUCGGGCUAGAGUGCGGAAGAGGCGAGUGGAAUUCCUGGUGUAGCGGUGAAAUGCGCAGAUAUCAGGAGGAACACCAAUUGCGAAGGCAGCUCGCUGGGACGUAACUGACGCUGAGACGCGAAAGCGUGGGGAGCAAACAGG